This 782-nucleotide ribosomal RNA is filed under the name uncultured bacterium. RNAcentral's name for it is "bacterial SSU rRNA". It matches the Rfam family "Bacterial small subunit ribosomal RNA", at positions 8 to 796 of the family's 1533-position model. The record is from RNAcentral.
AGAGUUUGAUCAUGGCUCAGAAUCAACGCUGGCGGCGUGCCUAACACAUGCAAGUCGAGCGAGAAAGGGGCUUCGGCCCUGAGUAAAGCGGCGCACGGGUGAGUAACACGUGGGUAAUCUGCCCUCGAGUGGGGAAUAACACCGGGAAACCGGUGCUAAUACCGCAUACGAUCAUGAUGUCUUCGGAUGUUGUGAUGAAAGGAGCAAUCCGCUCUUGGAGGAGCCCGCGGCUGAUUAGCUAGUUGGUGAGGUAAUGGCUCACCAAGGCUACGAUCAGUAUCCGGUCUGAGAGGACGGUCGGACACACUGGAACUGAGACACGGUCCAGACUCCUACGGGAGGCAGCAGUGGGGAAUUUUUCGCAAUGGGGGCAACCCUGACGAAGCAACGCCGCGUGGAUGAUGAAGUAUCUCGGUACGUAAAAUCCUUUCGACGGGGAAGAAAACCGCAAGGUUUGACGGUACCCGUAGAAGAAGCCCCGGCUAACUCCGUGCCAGCAGCCGCGGUAAUACGGGGGGGGCAAGCGUUGUUCGGAAUUACUGGGCGUAAAGGGCGCGUAGGCGGUCCGCUAAGUUGAAUGUGAAAACUCUGGGCUUAACCCAGAGCCUGCAUUCAAUACUGGCAGGCUAGAGUUCUGGAGGGGAUAGCGGAAUUCCUGGUGUAGCGGUGAAAUGCGUAGAUAUCAGGAGGAACACCGGUGGCGAAGGCGGCUAUCUGGACAGAGUCUGACGCUGAGGCGCGAAAGCUAGGGGAGCAAACAGGAUUAGAUACCCUAGUAGUCC